UACGGAGGGUGCGAGCGUUGUUCGGAAUCACUGGGCGGAAAGCGCGUGUAGGCGGCCCACUAAGUCUGAUGUGAAAGCCCGGGGCUCACCCCCGGAAGUGCAUUGGAAACUGGUGGACUCGAGUCCCGGAGAGGAGAGUGGAAUUCCUGGUGUAGCGGUGAAAUGCGUAGAUAUCAGGAGGAACACCAAUUGCGAAGGCAGCUCGCUGGGACGUUACUGACGCUGAGACGCGAAAGCGUGGGGAGCAAACAGG
Molecule: ribosomal RNA, 253 nt
Filed under: uncultured bacterium
Lineage: Bacteria
Description: partial 16S ribosomal RNA
Rfam family: Bacterial small subunit ribosomal RNA
Source: RNAcentral